Molecule: ribosomal RNA, 492 nt
Filed under: uncultured bacterium
Lineage: Bacteria
Description: partial 16S ribosomal RNA
Rfam family: Bacterial small subunit ribosomal RNA
Source: RNAcentral
GAUGAACGCUGGCGGCGUGCCUAACACAUGCAAGUCGAACGGAAAGACAGUGAGAUCGUGCUCUUACCGAUGGCGGGUGGCGGGCGGGUCACGAGUGCAUCCGAAUCUUCUUUUUCGGGGAGGAUAACGUAAGGAAGCUUACGAUACUACCGCAUACCACGUACCGGGGAGAGCAGUGGAUAUUCGCGGCUUUCGCGGUUGAAUUAGCCGAUGUCGGAUUAGCUAGUUGGUGGGGUAAAGGCCCAGCAAGGCGACGAUACGUAGCUUGUCUGAGAGGAUGAUCAGCCACACUGGAACUGAGACACGGUCCAGACUCCUACGGGAGGCAGCAGUGGGGAAUAUUGGACAAUGGGCGCAAGCCUGACCCAGCAAUGCCGCGUGGGUGAAGAAGGCCUUCGGGUUGUAAAGCCCUUUUGUUGGGAAAGAACAGCAGUAGGUUAAUACACCGCUGUUGUGACGGUACCCAAUGAAUAAGCACCGGCUAACUUCGUG